GACGAACGCUGGCGGCGUGCCUAAUACAUGCAAGUCGAACGGUUCUUUCUUUUGGAAGCUUGCUUCCGAUCGAGAGAAUAGUGGCGAACGGGUGAGUAACACGUGGGUAACCUGCCCAUAAGAGGGGGAUAACAUCCGGAAACGGGUGCUAAUACCGCAUAGUUUUUUUGAUCGCAUGAUCGAGAAAGGAAAGACGGCCUUUGUGCUGUCGCUUAUGGAUGGACCCGCGGCGUAUUAGUUAGUUGGUGAGGUAAUGGCUCACCAAGACGAUGAUACGUAGCCGACCUGAGAGGGUGAUCGGCCACAUUGGGACUGAGACACGGCCCAAACUCCUACGGGAGGCAGCAGUAGGGAAUCUUCCGCAAUGGACGAAAGUCUGACGGAGCAACGCCGCGUGAGUGAAGAAGGUUUUCGGAUCGUAAAACUCUGUUGUCAGAGAAGAACAAGUCGGAGAGUAACUGCUCCGGCCUUGACGGUAUCUGACCAGAAAGCCACGGCUAACUACGUGCCAGCAGCCGCGGUAAUACGUAGGUGGCAAGCGUUGUCCGGAUUUAUUGGGCGUAAAGCGAGCGCAGGCGGUUCCUUAAGUCUGAUGUGAAAGCCCACGGCUCAACCGUGGAAGGUCAUUGGAAACUGGGGAACUUGAGUGCAGAAGAGGAGAGUGGAAUUCCAUGUGUAGCGGUGAAAUGCGUAGAUAUAUGGAGGAACACCAGUGGCGAAGGCGACUCUCUGGUCUGUAACUGACGCUGAGGCUCGAAAGCGUGGGGAGCAAACAGGAUUAGAUACCCUGGUAGUCCACGCCGUAAACGAUGAGUGCUAAGUGUUGGAGGGUUUCCACCCUUCAGUGCUGCAGCUAACGCAUUAAGCACUCCG
Molecule: ribosomal RNA, 873 nt
Filed under: bacterium enrichment culture clone ZZ_A2b
Lineage: Bacteria
Description: bacterial SSU rRNA
Rfam family: Bacterial small subunit ribosomal RNA
Source: RNAcentral